RNAcentral lists this signal recognition particle RNA (266 nucleotides) under Christensenellaceae bacterium OttesenSCG-928-M15. RNAcentral describes it as "signal recognition particle sRNA large type". It matches the Rfam family "Bacterial large signal recognition particle RNA". From Rfam's summary of the family: The signal recognition particle (SRP) is a universally conserved ribonucleoprotein involved in the co-translational targeting of proteins to membranes. Archaeal SRP consists of a 7S RNA and homologues of the eukaryotic SRP19 and SRP54 proteins. Lineage: Bacteria; Bacillati; Bacillota; Clostridia; Christensenellales; Christensenellaceae. The record is from RNAcentral.
CCGCGCUAGGCGGGGAGUUAGCGGUGCCCUGUACCUGCAAUCCGCUACAGCAGGGCUGAACUCCGUCCCCCGGCCGGCGCUUGUGGGGUAUUGGUACCGGUAAGGAGUAUUGAUAUCCGGGUCCUGUGCAACCGGCGCCUGUGAACCAUGUCAGAUCCUGACGGAAGCAGCAUUAAGCAGGAAAACCGGUGUGCCGCAGGUGUGCCUGGAAGGAGCCGCCUGCCGGGGUGCCUCUCGGAAGUGUUCGGUCAAAGGAUGGUGCGCGG